AUGGCCAUGGCGGCGGAACCGGACGAGAAGGAUUUUAUCAGCCUCCUCCCCGACGAGAUCUUAGGCACCAUCAUCUCCCUCCUGCCCACGGACGACGGCGCGCGCACCACCGCCCUCUCCCGUCGCUGGCGCCACCUCUGGCGCUCCUCCCCGCUCAACCUCGACGACUACGACAUCAGCGGCAAUAGGCGUGGCCUCAACGUCAACCGCCUCGGCCUCGGCAAGAAUAGGCCCCAGCUUAUCUCCGUCAUCUCCAAGAUCCUGUCCAGGCACCAGGGUUCCGUCCGCCGCCUCUCCCUCCGCCACGACUACUACUACAUCAGCGACAUUCACGACACGCUCCGCGGCUGGCUCACGUCCCCCGCCCUCAGCAACCUCGAGGAGAUCCAGAUCAUCAGCUACAGCUACAGCUACAGAGGCCAGGAUCCGCUGCCGCUGCCGCUGACAAUGAGCAGCUUCGCGCCGACCGUCCGGGCCGCCACCUUCGUCCUCUGCCGCUUCCCCGAGCAGGCGCCCCAUGCGCUCAUCUUUCGGCAACUUAAAAGACUCGCCCUCCAUGACGUGACCGUCCCCGAUGACGACCUCCAAGGCGUGCUCUCUAACUGCCCUGUGCUCGAGAGCCUUCUGAUUGACAUUGACGUUCGCCGUACACCUGACAUUGUCCGGGUGCUGAUCAACUCACCGUCUCUCAGGAUCAUCGAGAAUGGCUACAGAGUUCAAGUAGUCAUCGAGAAUGCCCCUCGGCUGGAAAGAAUCGUCACAUCUCGGGACUUUCGUAGUUCCUAUUACACUUAUUACACCCCGAUGUUCUUCUGGGUACCCCACGCACGGAAAUUGGAGAUCUUGGACUCAUUCAGAAAAUCCAGAAAAGUGGUUCUGGAAAGCUUCAGAACAACUAUGCGCGACGUGAGGGUUUUGAUUCUCAAGGCUUGUGAACCUGAUCUCGAUGAUGUUAUCGACUUGCUGAGAUGCUUCCCAUACCUCACGAAACUUUACAUAACGACUUCUCUGCGGAAGUGUGAGAAAAAUGAUGGACACGGUUAUAACCCGCAAGAUCCUAUCACAUGCCUUGAGCUCCAUCUCACAGAGGUGGUGCUGAAGCGCUACCAGGGCAAGCAGUCGGAUGUGGAUUUUGCCAAGUUCUUUGUGGUGAAUGCUAAAGUGCUCGAGUCAAUGAAGUUUGGAGUCCACGACAGUUGCACCGAUAAAUGGAUAGCUAAUCAGCGCAGGCGCCUACAUCUGGAUAGAAGGGCCUCUCGAGACGCUCAAAUUGAUUUUAGAUCCGAUCUUACUUGUGAUGAUUUUGCUUGCUACGAUGUUCUCUCCGUGCCUGAUCCCUUCGGCAUCAGAAGGUCUUGUGCAUAUUGUUCACAAGGCUGA
Molecule: ribosomal RNA, 1380 nt
Filed under: Triticum aestivum (bread wheat)
Lineage: Eukaryota; Viridiplantae; Streptophyta; Magnoliopsida; Poales; Poaceae
Description: partial small subunit ribosomal RNA
Source: RNAcentral